GCCAGCCAAUCGGGAACCCCGAUGAGCGUCUGUUGGCUGCCACUCACCUGUCAACCGUCAAUCAACAGCGUGUGGCCACGGGUCCCCAACUGUCAGUCAUCCUGUGGGUCCGUAGGCAGAGCGCUGCAUCCCUGCAUUCAUAUCUAUGGGGUGCCAACUAUGUAUCAACUCAUCAGCUGCAUCUCUGCCCUCCGAGAGCUUACAUUCCAGUGGAAGAGACAUGGUCCAAACCGACAAAUAAGAUAAUUUCAGAUGCUGCUAAGUUUUAGGAAGAUGAUAACACAAGAAUGGAGAAACUGAGGCACAGAGCAGGCCAAUGACUUGCUGAAGGCUGCAGAGAGAGCUUGCGGUCAAGCUAGACGUCGAACGCAGACCUCCUGACUCAGGUUUCCUAACUGAGCUACAAAGUGCUUCAGAACUCACGAGAAAGGAGGGAAAUGUGAGGCUGGCAGGCAAGAAGGCAUCUUGACAGAGGUGGAGAGAAGAAGGAGGAAUAUCUUAAGAUGGCUACAGCUGGGGUGGGCCAUGAGAGAGACAUGAAAACCAUCGUAUGAAAGCCAUAGCUUUGUUGUCGGAAAUGCGGAACCUCAGGCCUGGUCUGCAUUUUAACCAGAUCCCCAGAUGACGCCAGUGCACAGUUUGAGGAGUUUGAGAAGCAACACUCUAUUCAGUGGGGAGAAAGCAGUGCAAAACCUUUUUUCAAAAAUCAUGGCUUUAGGAGGGAUAGUGUUCUAGCUCAUAAAUUAGGUGCUGGGUUCAUGGAUGAUGUUUAUUUUGUGAUUAAGCUUUAUAACCUAUUUCAGGGUUUUGAGCAAAAGUCAGCUCCUCAAUGAAGCUUUUUAUGGUCCCAUUAUUUAAAAUUAUACCCCCAUCACCCGCUCUGUCCUCCUUUCCUGCUUUAUAUUUUUCUGGAAUGCUUGUUACCAUCUGAGAGAUGAAAAACUGUCAGUUUUUAUUUGUAUAUUGUCUAUCUCUCUCUCCCUAUAAGGUGAGCUCUACAAAAGCAGCAAUUAGUUCUGGUUUAGUCCUUGCGCUAUCCCCAGCAUCUACAACAGGGCCUGGUACCCAGUAGGUCUUCAAUAAAUGCUUUUGGAAUGAAUGUGUUAUAUGGUACAUAUUAAAUAUUACAUAAUAAAAUGGCUUUUAAAGUUAAAAAACCA
RNAcentral lists this long non-coding RNA (1160 nucleotides) under Equus asinus (donkey). Its description in RNAcentral is "lncRNA (ENSEASG00005024060.1)". The record is from RNAcentral. Lineage: Eukaryota; Metazoa; Chordata; Mammalia; Perissodactyla; Equidae.